Molecule: unclassified non-coding RNA, 272 nt
Filed under: Cercozoa sp.
Lineage: Eukaryota; Cercozoa
Description: partial contains small subunit ribosomal RNA, internal transcribed spacer 1, and 5.8S ribosomal RNA
Rfam family: Eukaryotic small subunit ribosomal RNA (bases 1-47)
Source: RNAcentral
AAAGUCGUAACAAGGUUUCCGUAGGUGAACCUGCGGAAGGAUCAUUAAUACGUAUCCACGUUUCAACCCCCUGUGAACAAAACCUGCGAGCCGGUCCCGGUGAAAGUCCAUCUGCAAGGAGGGACUGGGACUUUAAAAUGGUCGUACCUGGAAUCGGCGCAAGCUGAUUUCUUUUAACACCUUUUUCGAACAUUGUACUAAUCUUGACUGCUUUCACGAGCGUUCAAAAUACGAAAUCAAAACAACUCUUAGCAACGGAUAUCUUGGUUCCC